GACGAACGCUGGCGGCGUGCCUCACACAUGCAAGUCGAGCGGGUUGGGAGCAAUCCUGGCUAGCGGCGGACGGGUGCGUAACGCGUGAACAAUCUGUCCCAUACAGGGGGAUAACGAAUGGAAACAUUCGCUAAUACCGCGUAAGGCUGAUGGAGGGCAUCCUUUAUCAGCGAAAGGAGAAAUCCGGUAUGGGGUGAGUUCGCGUCCCAUUAGAUAGUUGGCGGGGUAACGGCCCACCAAGUCAGCGAUGGGUAGCCGAUCUGAGAGGAUGACCGGCCACACUGGAACUGAGAAACGGUCCAGACUCCUACGGGAGGCAGCAGUGGGGAAUAUUGGGCAAUGGGGGAAACCCUGACCCAGCGACGCCGCGUGGGGGAAGAAGGCAUUCGUGUUGUAAACCUCUGUCCCAUGUGAAGAGAAGAAGACGGUAGCAUGGGAAGAAGCCCCGGCUAACUACGUGCCAGCAGCCGCGGUAAUACGUAGGGGGCGAGCGUUGUCCGGAAUGACUGGGCGUUAAGGGCGCGUAGGCGGCCUUGUAAUUCUUAAAUUGGAAGUCCUCUUUUUAA
Molecule: ribosomal RNA, 566 nt
Filed under: uncultured bacterium
Lineage: Bacteria
Description: bacterial SSU rRNA
Rfam family: Bacterial small subunit ribosomal RNA
Source: RNAcentral